This 253-nucleotide ribosomal RNA is filed under the name uncultured bacterium. RNAcentral describes it as "partial 16S ribosomal RNA". It matches the Rfam family "Bacterial small subunit ribosomal RNA", at positions 524 to 776 of the family's 1533-position model. The record is from RNAcentral.
UACGGAGGGUGCGAGCGUUGCUCGGAAUUAUUGGGCGUAAAGCGUACGCAGGCGGCUCGGCAAGUCGAGUGUGAAAUCCCGGGGCUCAACUCCGGAACUGCAUCCGAUACUGCCGGGCUUGAGUGCGGGAGAGGGAAGCGGAAUUCCUGGUGUAGAGGUGAAAUUCGUAGAUAUCAGGAGGAACACCGGUGGCGAAAGCGGCUUCCUGGCCCGACACUGACGCUCAUGUACGAAAGCGUGGGGAGCAAACAGG